ACUUCAUAGGAAUUUGUAUUGCC
This 23-nucleotide non-coding RNA is filed under the name Cricetulus griseus (Chinese hamster). The record is from RNAcentral. Lineage: Eukaryota; Metazoa; Chordata; Mammalia; Rodentia; Cricetidae.